UUCUGGUUGAUCCUGCCGGACCUGACUGCUAUCGGAUUGAUACUAAGCCAUGCGAGUCAUUGUAGCAAUACAAGGCAGACGGCUCAGUAACGCGUAGUCAAUCUACCCUAUGGACGGGAAUAACCUCGGGAAACUGAGAAUAAUGCCCGAUAGAACAUUAUACCUGGAACGGUUUAUGUUACAAAUGAUUUAUCGCCGUAGGAUGGGACUGCGGCCUAUCAGUUUGUUGGUGAGGUAAUGGCCCACCAAGACUAUUACAGGUACGGGCUCUGAGAGGAGUAGCCCGGAGAUGGGUACUGAGACACGGACCCAGGCCCUAUGGGGCGCAGCAGGCGAGAAAACUUUGCAAUGUGCGAAAGCACGACAAGGUUAAUCCGAGUGGUUUCUGCUAAAGAAACCUUUUGCUAGUCCUAGAAACACUAGUGAAUAAGGGGUGGGCAAGUUCUGGUGUCAGCCGCCGCGGUAAAACCAGCACCUCAAGUGGUCAGGAUGAUUAUUGGGCCUAAAGCAUCCGUAGCUCGUUUUGUAAGUUUUCGGUUAAAUCCAUACGCUUAACGUAUGGGCUGCCGGGAAUACUGCAUAACUAGGAAGUGGGAGAGGUAGACGGUACUCGGUAGGAAGGGGUAAAAUCCUUUGAUCUAUUGAUGACCACCUGUGGCGAAGGCGGUCUACCAGAACACGUUCGACGGUGAGGGAUGAAAGCUGGGGGAGCAAACCGGAUUAGAUACCCGGGUAGUCCCAGCUGUAAACUAUGCAAACUCAGUGAUGCAUUGGCUUGUGGCCAAUGCAGUGCUGCAGGGAAGCCGUUAAGUUUGCCGCCUGGGAAGUACGUACGCAAGUAUGAAACUUAAAGGAAUUGGCGGGA
RNAcentral lists this ribosomal RNA (865 nucleotides) under uncultured archaeon. Its description in RNAcentral is "bacterial SSU rRNA". It matches the Rfam family "Archaeal small subunit ribosomal RNA", at positions 1 to 873 of the family's 1478-position model. The record is from RNAcentral.